CUUUGGAUUUUAAAAGGUCCAAAGUCUCUGGGAAGCCCAAACAAACAUGGACUAAAUGUAUUUUAGACCAACUAUUCUCGACUAUGCUAAGAACAGUUACUUAAGAUGUACAACACAAAUAGUACAGGUGUACCAAUUCCUAUGCUACAUAUAACAUUUUGAGGCCCCUUCGGAAUGCAGGAAUUUCAUAGGAAUUAUAUAAGAAUUUUACAGGAUUUCACAGAAAAAACACAGAAAACGGGGAAAAUUUUGUAUGUAGAUGGUAACAUUAUUUUUUUAUGGCUACAUAUGUAGGAAAAGAAUACAAAAGUGAACAUAACUUACAUAAAAAUGGUACAUAAACAUGUUUAAAGAAAGAAUGAAAGUUUAGAUCAAGUUAUCUUGCGAGUAAACAUAUUUUGAUAAGUAAACGAAGAUGAGAAUACAGUAACAAACUCAUAACUUAUUUGUCUUAGAAAAUCUCCAGCAUGGCAAAAAAAAAAAAGACACAAGCUAGCAGGACUGUACUCAGGUUCCCAAAAGUUACAUAUAUGGGCGGUUUAACAAACUCAAAGUAACUUUACCAGCUUCCUUUGAAGCGAAAGGUUUUGUUCUUUUCGUUGUAGUUGUAGUCCCUACUCUAAAGUAGAGAUCAUAUGGUUGUCCAGUCACUCUCAUUUAUGUUAAUUAAUUGAAAGCUUUUCCAAUCUUACUAGCUCUGGCAAAGGGAGGCAGAAAGCUUGAGGCAGCAACUGCAUAACUUAAAAGAGCACCAUCGGUAUGACCCUCAACUAACCUACAAUAAAUAUUUCAAAUCAUUACGAGAAAAAGGAUGUGUCUACUGCAAUUAUUUUUCAUGCUCAGAGAUAGAAUCAAUGGGAACAAGGUCAUAAAUAUAUAAAUAUAAAAAAGAAUUCAGAACAAAUUCUCAGCACAUGAUGAUGAAAUGCAAGAUGCAUUUGGUUAUAUGUUCUGGUGUGUAUAUCCAUUAAUGUUUACGCACAGGAAGUUUGAAGUCUCCAAAUCAAAGUAAAACCUUAUACAGUAUGGGUCCAAAACUUUCAGAAACAGCAACAAGCAACGAUCUGCUUCAUUAUUAUUCUAUUUGAUUAAGAGUGUGUGCUUACUCCACACACAAAGGAAGUUAUGUUAUUCGUUGAUUAAUUCAACUGUACACUAGAUGGCUACAAAAAAU
Molecule: long non-coding RNA, 1174 nt
Filed under: Zea mays
Lineage: Eukaryota; Viridiplantae; Streptophyta; Magnoliopsida; Poales; Poaceae
Description: drought responsive lncRNA
Source: RNAcentral